RNAcentral lists this long non-coding RNA (532 nucleotides) under Oreochromis niloticus (Nile tilapia). RNAcentral describes it as "lncRNA (ENSONIG00000040613.1)". Lineage: Eukaryota; Metazoa; Chordata; Actinopteri; Cichliformes; Cichlidae. The record is from RNAcentral.
CUGAGGAUUUCCUGUCUCUGGAAGGAUUUUCUUCUCUCUCUUUCUGACCAAAGCAGAGAGAGGAGGAGAAGGACAGAUAGUAAGAGGAGAGGAAAACAGGAGAAGGAAGAGCGACAGUGGGCCGGGAGUGACCUUCGUGGUGUGGUGGCAAAGCAGAGGAGGAGGAACGGGACUAAGCGGAGGAUCCAUCAGGUGCAUUUUCCCUCUUUGAGGAGCAGUGAUAUGGACACCAGGUGUGGUGACGCUGAGGGACCUUCUUUAAGGACGAAUGGAGGAUUCAAUCACCUGCUCACAGGUCAUUUGUGCUUCUUGAUCGAAUUGCACUGAGCAUCUAGCACAGAGACACUUUACUGGACUGGUGGACACAUACACACAGACACACCCAUGUGUGUGUAUAUAUAUAUAUAUAUGUGUAUAUAUGUGUAUAUAUGUAUAUAUAUAUAUAUAUAUAUAUAUAUCAAUAAGGACAUAGCCAAAGGGUAAAUUAUUUUUUUCAAUAUAAUGGUGCAUUUCAUGGCUCCCUUACCCCUAG